RNAcentral lists this ribosomal RNA (184 nucleotides) under uncultured bacterium. RNAcentral describes it as "partial 16S ribosomal RNA". It matches the Rfam family "Bacterial small subunit ribosomal RNA", at positions 1317 to 1500 of the family's 1533-position model. The record is from RNAcentral.
UGCGUGAAGUCGGAAUCGCUAGUAAUCGCGGAUCAGCAUGCCGCGGUGAAUACGUUCCCGGGCCUUGUACACACCGCCCGUCACACCAUGAGAGUCGGGAACACCCGAAGCCCGUAGCCUAACAGCAAUGAGGGCGCGGUCGAAGGUGGGUUCGAUAAUUGGGGUGAAGUCGUAACAAGGUAGC